UACGUAGGCAGCGAGCGUUGUUCGGAGUUACUGGGCGUAAAGGGUGUGUAGGCGGUUCUUUAAGUUCGGGGUGAAAUCUCCCGGCUCAACCGGGAGGGUGCGUCGAAUACUGAGGGACUAGAGUGCGGGAGAGGAAAGUGGAAUUCCUGGUGUAGCGGUGAAAUGCGUAGAUAUCAGGAGGAAUACCGGUGGUGUAGACGGCUCUCUGGACCGUAACUGACGCUGAGACACGAAAGCGUGGGUAGCAAACAGG
Molecule: ribosomal RNA, 253 nt
Filed under: uncultured bacterium
Lineage: Bacteria
Description: partial 16S ribosomal RNA
Rfam family: Bacterial small subunit ribosomal RNA
Source: RNAcentral